UGCGUAGGCGGCGCGGUAAGUCGGGUGUGAAAUCUCGGGGCUUAACUCCGAAACUGCAUUCGAUACUGCCGUGAUUGAGGACUGGAGAGGAGACUGGAAUUUACGGUGUAGCGGUGAAAUGCGUAGAUAUCGUAAGGAAGACCAGUGGCGAAGGCGGGUCUCUGGACAGUUCCUGACGCUGAGGCACGAAGGCCAGGGGAGCAAACG
Molecule: ribosomal RNA, 207 nt
Filed under: uncultured bacterium
Lineage: Bacteria
Description: partial 16S ribosomal RNA
Rfam family: Bacterial small subunit ribosomal RNA
Source: RNAcentral